Molecule: small nuclear RNA, 22 nt
Filed under: Arabidopsis thaliana (thale cress)
Lineage: Eukaryota; Viridiplantae; Streptophyta; Magnoliopsida; Brassicales; Brassicaceae
Description: snRNA_17622
Source: RNAcentral
ACAUGAUAUUUUCUUAUGUGAU